AUGUGUGUAUAAAUCACCAACAGGAUUCUGACCUGAAAGUCCUGGUGCUCCAACGCUGGCUUCACUUCACCAUCGUAAUGGAGAAUGCUGAAACAUGGCUUGAGGAAACUUUGGUCAAAAUCCCUUGAUUUCCCAGGGCUUCAUUUGUAAAACAGCAGCAACCUUCUGUCUUCUAAAAGGCCUAGGAGCUGAGCAGAUCCAACCCCCCUUGUGCAAUAUUCCCUUGAUUACUAUACCUUAACGCGAAGGUCACCUGACAAUCGGAAGUCAUUGGAGAGAUAUAAAUGCAGGAAGUGCUGGAGUGCCAGAGUGAAGUCCACCACCGAGCGGUUGAACUCAGCGAUACGGAGUCCAUUCAACGUCUACAAUUCCAUGAUUCUAUUAAAGUUGAGAAACCUGUCAAAAAAUAAACAAAAAUAAAUGCAAACCCACAGUGUUAUCUUAACUCA
This 449-nucleotide long non-coding RNA is filed under the name Pogona vitticeps (central bearded dragon). RNAcentral's name for it is "lncRNA (ENSPVIG00000013026.1)". The record is from RNAcentral. Lineage: Eukaryota; Metazoa; Chordata; Lepidosauria; Squamata; Agamidae.